This 417-nucleotide ribosomal RNA is filed under the name uncultured bacterium. Its description in RNAcentral is "partial 16S ribosomal RNA". It matches the Rfam family "Bacterial small subunit ribosomal RNA", at positions 355 to 784 of the family's 1533-position model. The record is from RNAcentral.
UGGGGAAUAUUGGACAAUGGGCGGAAGCCUGAUCCAGCAACGCCGCGUGAGGGAUGACGGCCUUCGGGUUGUAAACCUCUUUCAGUACCGACGAAGCGAAAGUGACGGUAGGUACAGAAGAAGGACCGGCCAACUACGUGCCAGCAGCCGCGGUAAUACGUAGGGUCCGAGCGUUGUCCGGAAUUAUUGGGCGUAAAGGGCUCGUAGGCGGUUUGUCGCGUCGGGAGUGAAAACAGCGGGCUUAACUCGUUGCUUGCUUUCGAUACGGGCAGACUAGAGGUAUGCAGGGGAGAAUGGAAUUCCUGGUGUAGCGGUGAAAUGCGCAGAUAUCAGGAGGAACACCGGUGGCGAAGGCGGUUCUCUGGGCAUUACCUGACGCUGAGGAGCGAAAGUGUGGGGAGCGAACAGGAUUAGAUA